AUGGGAAUGACGAUAUCUUCAGUCUUGAGACUCUAUGAUGUUUCAUGUAUUCAUACUGUCUGACCCAG
Molecule: small nucleolar RNA, 68 nt
Organism: Ictalurus furcatus (blue catfish)
Lineage: Eukaryota; Metazoa; Chordata; Actinopteri; Siluriformes; Ictaluridae
Source: RefSeq, a predicted model, not a curated record